RNAcentral lists this ribosomal RNA (156 nucleotides) under uncultured Neonectria. Its description in RNAcentral is "5.8S ribosomal RNA". It matches the Rfam family "5.8S ribosomal RNA". Rfam says of the family: 5.8S ribosomal RNA (5.8S rRNA) is a component of the large subunit of the eukaryotic ribosome. It is transcribed by RNA polymerase I as part of the 45S precursor that also contains 18S and 28S rRNA. Functionally, it is thought that 5.8S rRNA may be involved in ribosome translocation. Lineage: Eukaryota; Fungi; Ascomycota; Sordariomycetes; Hypocreales; Nectriaceae. The record is from RNAcentral.
AAACUUUCAACAACGGAUCUCUUGGUUCUGGCAUCGAUGAAGAACGCAGCGAAAUGCGAUAAGUAAUGUGAAUUGCAGAAUUCAGUGAAUCAUCGAAUCUUUGAACGCACAUUGCGCCCGCUAGUAUUCUGGCGGGCAUGCCUGUCCGAGCGUCAU